RNAcentral lists this long non-coding RNA (1151 nucleotides) under Calidris pugnax (ruff). Its description in RNAcentral is "lncRNA (ENSCPUG00000017963.1)". Lineage: Eukaryota; Metazoa; Chordata; Aves; Charadriiformes; Scolopacidae. The record is from RNAcentral.
GACCGGGGCUUCGGGCAGGGCGAGGGCCGUUGCCGGGGAUCGGGGCUCUCCCGGUCAAACGCCGACAGUGCCGGGGGCCUGGCGUGUCCCCCUGUCCCUCUGUCCCUCCGUCCCCUUGUCCCUCCAUCCGUCCCUCCAUCCAUCCCUCCGUCCCUCCAUCCGUCCCUCCGUCCGUCCCUCCAUCCGUCCCUCCAUCCGUCCCUCCGUCCCCCCGGCUGCCCGUCCUUCUCCUUGCAGGUGGCUCCGGGCUGUCCCCAUGGCGGAGGACUCGGGCUCCCGGGACUCGGACGGCAGCUGGGUGCUGGCGGGGGGCGAGGGCCUGCCCAUCGACACGGUGGGUCCAGAGCAGGAUCUGGCCUCCCGUGGGGCCGAGGAUGAGGAGCUGGAGGAGGAGGAGGAGGAAGGCGCUCAGGACACCGUUCCAGCCACUGUCACCAGCCAGACCCCCAGCCCCGAGGGCACCGUGCUGGGGGACCCGGAGGAGUGUGGGGACACUGGGACAGCGGCCACCCCCGACGGCUCGGCGGAGCACAGCACGCCAGAUGGCGGGGAGCUGGCGGAGCCCGAUGCCAAGGCUGAGCCAGGCCCCAGCCCUGACACCCCCAAAGCAGGGCCACCAACGGAGGAGGGGAGCUGCAGCAGCAGCGACGAUGACACGGAGGGGCUGCGGCGACGGCAGGGCCAUGAGCCCCGUCCCGUCCCCCCGACUCCCGCGCCUGCCCUGCACCGGGGGACGCCGGACGCUGGUGACGAGGACGGGCUCAGCAUGAGCAAGUACCUGCUGGGCGCCCUGGCGCUGGUGGCCGUGGGGCUACUGGUCAUCUCCGGUGGCAUCUAUGACCCAGCCGACGGCCCCCUGGAGAGCGUGGUGACCCGGGACGUGGCCGCCGGGGAGCAGGAGUCGCCGCCGCCUGCCGACGGCAAUGACUCGCAGCAGAAGCCCCCCCCAUUGGACACCGGGGACCCCCAGAGCGUGCAGUCGGUCACCCUCCUCCUGGACAAGCUGGCCAAGGAGAACCAGGAGAUCCGGCUCAUGCAGGCAGAGCUGCAGGUGGGCGAGCGCGGCUGUGCCCUCGGGAGCUGCUUGAAGGACCAGGUGCCACCCUCCCCACCCCCACUCACGGUCCCCCCUCGCCCCCCGCUGCCUCCCC